GACGAACGCUGGCGGCGUGCUUAACACAUGCAAGUCGAGCGAUGAAACACCUUCGGGUGCGGAUUAGCGGCGAACGGGUGAGGAACACGUGAGGAAUCUGCCUUCCACUCUGGGAUAACUCCGGGAAACCGGGGCUAAUACCGGAUACUUUCAACUGGCGGCAUCGCCGGUUGAAGAAAGUUUUUCGGUGGAAGAUGACCUCGCGGCCUAUCAGCUUGUAGGUGAGGUAAAGGCUCACCAAGGCGACGACGGGUAGCCGGCCUGAGAGGGCGACCGGCCACACUCGGAGUGAGACACGGCCCAGACGUCUACGGGAGGCAGCAGUGGGGAAUAUUGGGCAAUGGAGGAAGCUCUGACCCAGCGACGCCGCGUGAGGGAUGAAGGCCUUCGGGUUGUAAACCUCUUUCAGCAGGGAAUAAGCGAAAGUGAAGGUACCUGCAGAAGAAGCACCGGCUAACUAUGUGCCAGCCGCCGCCGUAA
This 480-nucleotide ribosomal RNA is filed under the name uncultured bacterium. RNAcentral's name for it is "partial 16S ribosomal RNA". It matches the Rfam family "Bacterial small subunit ribosomal RNA", at positions 28 to 523 of the family's 1533-position model. The record is from RNAcentral.